Molecule: ribosomal RNA, 253 nt
Filed under: uncultured bacterium
Lineage: Bacteria
Description: partial 16S ribosomal RNA
Rfam family: Bacterial small subunit ribosomal RNA
Source: RNAcentral
UACGUAGGGGGCAAGCGUUGUCCGGAAUCAUUGGGCGUAAAGCGCGCGUAGGCGGCCCGAUAAGUCCGUUGUAAAAGUCCAGGGCUCAACCCUGGAAAGCCGGUGGAUACUGUCGGGCUAGAGUCCGGAAGAGGCGAGUGGAAUUCCUGGUGUAGCGGUGGAAUGCGCAGAUAUCAGGAGGAACACCAAUGGCGAAGGCAGCUCGCUGGGACGGUACUGACGCUAAGGCGCGAAAGCGUGGGGAGCGAACAGG